UGAUUCUGAUGCGUGUCCAAGUUGUA
RNAcentral lists this non-coding RNA (26 nucleotides) under Homo sapiens (human). The record is from RNAcentral. Lineage: Eukaryota; Metazoa; Chordata; Mammalia; Primates; Hominidae.